CAGUAGCCGCGGUAAUACGUAGGGUGCAAGCGUUAAUCGGAAUUACUGGGCGUAAAGGAUACGCAGGCGGUUUUUUAAGAUGGAUGUGAAAUCCCAGGGCUCAACCUUGGAACUGCAUUCAUAACUGGAAAGCUAGAGUACGGAAGAGGGGGGUAGAAUUCCACGUGUAGCAGUGAAAUGCGUAGAGAUGUGGAGGAAUACCGAUGGCGAAGGCAGCCCCCUGGGACGAUACUGACGCUCAUGUACGAAAGCGUGGGGAGCAAACAGGAUUAGAUACCCGCGUAGUCCCUGUCUCUUAUAC
Molecule: ribosomal RNA, 301 nt
Filed under: uncultured bacterium
Lineage: Bacteria
Description: partial 16S ribosomal RNA
Rfam family: Bacterial small subunit ribosomal RNA
Source: RNAcentral